UACGUAGGGUGCGAGCGUUGUCCGGAAUUAUUGGGCGUAAAGAGCUCGUAGGUGGUUUGUCGCGUUGUUCGUGAAAACUCACAGCUCAACUGUGGGCGUGCGGGCGAUACGGGCAGACUGGAGUACUGCAGGGGAGACUGGAAUUCCUGGUGUAGCGGUGAAAUGCGCAGAUAUCAGGAGGAACACCGGUGGCGAAGGCGGUGGUCUGGGCCGGCACUGACGCUGAGGAGCGAAAGCGUGGGGAGCGAACAGG
Molecule: ribosomal RNA, 253 nt
Filed under: uncultured bacterium
Lineage: Bacteria
Description: partial 16S ribosomal RNA
Rfam family: Bacterial small subunit ribosomal RNA
Source: RNAcentral